Molecule: long non-coding RNA, 223 nt
Filed under: Nicotiana benthamiana
Lineage: Eukaryota; Viridiplantae; Streptophyta; Magnoliopsida; Solanales; Solanaceae
Description: long non-coding RNA (NBEN_LNC000739)
Source: RNAcentral
GCUACUUGUGGAGAUGUCUGCUUACUUGCUCGAUACUGAAGGAACUCAUUAUACUCCCUUCAGAUAAAGAAAAUCCUUGGUUACCUGUAGUCUCAGUCUGAGCAACAUAAGCAUUUUUGGGUGGCUGGCCAUGUAAAGAAUAACACACGUCACGAGUGUUUCCAAGUUUAUGACAAUAAGAGCACUUGGGUCUAGAUCUUCCAAAACGACCUCCUCCUCGUCU